RNAcentral lists this ribosomal RNA (492 nucleotides) under uncultured bacterium. RNAcentral describes it as "partial 16S ribosomal RNA". It matches the Rfam family "Bacterial small subunit ribosomal RNA", at positions 29 to 507 of the family's 1533-position model. The record is from RNAcentral.
AGCGAACGCUGGCGGUAGGCCUAACACAUGCAAGUCGAACGACCGUAUCGUAAGUAGUUGCGCUCACGGGAGGAGGACGUGGGAAGGUGGCUGUAUACACCGGAAAAUACUUGUUAGCGGGGGCUAAUGCCGGGAAUGUUACGCGAAUAACAGAUUAAUCGUAUGUGGAAAAGCAGGGGAUCUUCGAACCUGUUGGUAUUGGAAAAGCCGAUGUAGGAUUAGCUAGUUGGCGGGGUAAAGGCCCACCAAGGGGACGAUCCGUACCUGGUCUGAGAGGAUGAUCAGCCACACUGGAACUGAGACACGGUCCAGACUCCGACGGGAGGCAGCAGUGGGGAAUAUUGGACAAUGGGGGCAAGCCUGAUCCAGCCAUACCGCGUGGGUGAAGAAGGCCUUCGGGUUGUAAAGCCCUUUUGUUGGGAAAGAAAAGCAGCAGGUUAAUACCCCGCUGUUCUGACGGUACCCAAAGAAUAAGCACCGGCUAACUUCGUG